This 168-nucleotide unclassified non-coding RNA is filed under the name uncultured Trichosporon. RNAcentral's name for it is "partial internal transcribed spacer 2". The record is from RNAcentral. Lineage: Eukaryota; Fungi; Basidiomycota; Tremellomycetes.
AAUCUCAACCAUUAGGGUUUCUUAAUGGCUUGGAUUUGGAGGUUUGCCAGUCUGACUGGCUCCUCUUAAAGGAGUUAGCAAGUUUAACUAUUGCUAUCUGGCGUAAUAAGUUUCGCUGGAAUGGUAUUGUGAAGCGUGCUUCUAAUCGUCUUCGGACAAUUACUUUGA